GGGUUGUGAGGUUAAGCGACUAAGCGUACACGGUGGAUGCCCUGGCAGUCAGAGGCGAUGAAGGACGUGCUAAUCUGCGAUAAGCGUCGGUGAGGUGAUAUGAACCGUUAUAACCGGCGAUUUCCGAAUGGGGAAACCCAGUGUGUUUCGACACACUAUCAUUAACUGAAUCCAUAGGUUAAUGAGGCGAACCGGGGGAACUGAAACAUCUAAGUACCCCGAGGAAAAGAAAUCAACCGAGAUUCCCCCAGUAGCGGCGAGCGAACGGGGAGGAGCCCAGAGCCUGAAUCAGUGUGUGUGUUAGUGGAAGCGUCUGGAAAGGCGUGCGAUACAGGGUGACAGCCCCGUACACAAAAAUGCACAUAUUGUGAGCUCGAUGAGUAGGGCGGGACACGUGGUAUCCUGUCUGAAUAUGGGGGGACCAUCCUCCAAGGCUAAAUACUCCUGACUGACCGAUAGUGAACCAGUACCGUGAGGGAAAGGCGAAAAGAACCCCGGCGAGGGGAGUGAAAAAGAACCUGAAACCGUGUACGUACAAGCAGUGGGAGCCUCUUAAUGGGGUGACUGCGUACCUUUUGUAUAAUGGGUCAGCGACUUAUAUUCUGUAGCAAGGUUAACCGAAUAGGGGAGCCGAAGGGAAACCGAGUCUUAACUGGGCGUUAAGUUGCAGGGUAUAGACCCGAAACCCGGUGAUCUAGCCAUGGGCAGGUUGAAGGUUGGGUAACACUAACUGGAGGACCGAACCGACUAAUGUUGAAAAAUUAGCGGAUGACUUGUGGCUGGGGGUGAAAGGCCAAUCAAACCGGGAGAUAGCUGGUUCUCCCCGAAAGCUAUUUAGGUAGCGCCUCGUGAAUUCAUCUCCGGGGGUAGAGCACUGUUUCGGCAAGGGGGUCAUCCCGACUUACCAACCCGAUGCAAACUGCGAAUACCGGAGAAUGUUAUCACGGGAGACACACGGCGGGUGCUAACGUCCGUCGUGAAGAGGGAAACAACCCAGACCGCCAGCUAAGGUCCCAAAGUCAUGGUUAAGUGGGAAACGAUGUGGGAAGGCCCAGACAGCCAGGAUGUUGGCUUAGAAGCAGCCAUCAUUUAAAGAAAGCGUAAUAGCUCACUGGUCGAGUCGGCCUGCGCGGAAGAUGUAACGGGGCUAAACCAUGCACCGAAGCUGCGGCAGCGACGCUUAUGCGUUGUUGGGUAGGGGAGCGUUCUGUAAGCCUGUGAAGGUGUGCUGUGAGGCAUGCUGGAGGUAUCAGAAGUGCGAAUGCUGACAUAAGUAACGAUAAAGCGGGUGAAAAGCCCGCUCGCCGGAAGACCAAGGGUUCCUGUCCAACGUUAAUCGGGGCAGGGUGAGUCGACCCCUAAGGCGAGGCCGAAAGGCGUAGUCGAUGGGAAACAGGUUAAUAUUCCUGUACUUGGUGUUACUGCGAAGGGGGGACGGAGAAGGCUAUGUUGGCCGGGCGACGGUUGUCCCGGUUUAAGCGUGUAGGCUGGUUUUCCAGGCAAAUCCGGAAAACCAAGGCUGAGGCGUGAUGACGAGGCACUACGGUGCUGAAGCGACAAAUGCCCUGCUUCCAGGAAAAGCCUCUAAGCAUCAGGUAACAUCAAAUCGUACCCCAAACCGACACAGGUGGUCAGGUAGAGAAUACCAAGGCGCUUGAGAGAACUCGGGUGAAGGAACUAGGCAAAAUGGUGCCGUAACUUCGGGAGAAGGCACGCUGAUAUGUAGGUGAAGCGACUUGCUCGUGGAGCUGAAAUCAGUCGAAGAUACCAGCUGGCUGCAACUGUUUAUUAAAAACACAGCACUGUGCAAACACGAAAGUGGACGUAUACGGUGUGACGCCUGCCCGGUGCCGGAAGGUUAAUUGAUGGGGUUAGCGGCAACGCGAAGCUCUUGAUCGAAGCCCCGGUAAACGGCGGCCGUAACUAUAACGGUCCUAAGGUAGCGAAAUUCCUUGUCGGGUAAGUUCCGACCUGCACGAAUGGCGUAAUGAUGGCCAGGCUGUCUCCACCCGAGACUCAGUGAAAUUGAACUCGCUGUGAAGAUGCAGUGUACCCGCGGCAAGACGGAAAGACCCCGUGAACCUUUACUAUAGCUUGACACUGAACAUUGAGCCUUGAUGUGUAGGAUAGGUGGGAGGCUUUGAAGUGUGGACGCCAGUCUGCAUGGAGCCGACCUUGAAAUACCACCCUUUAAUGUUUGAUGUUCUAACGUGGGCCCCUAAUCGGGGUUGCGGACAGUGUCUGGUGGGUAGUUUGACUGGGGCGGUCUCCUCCUAAAGAGUAACGGAGGAGCACGAAGGUUGGCUAAUCCUGGUCGGACAUCAGGAGGUUAGUGCAAUGGCAUAAGCCAGCUUGACUGCGAGCGUGACGGCGCGAGCAGGUGCGAAAGCAGGUCAUAGUGAUCCGGUGGUUCUGAAUGGAAGGGCCAUCGCUCAACGGAUAAAAGGUACUCCGGGGAUAACAGGCUGAUACCGCCCAAGAGUUCAUAUCGACGGCGGUGUUUGGCACCUCGAUGUCGGCUCAUCACAUCCUGGGGCUGAAGUAGGUCCCAAGGGUAUGGCUGUUCGCCAUUUAAAGUGGUACGCGAGCUGGGUUUAGAACGUCGUGAGACAGUUCGGUCCCUAUCUGCCGUGGGCGCUGGAGAACUGAGGGGGGCUGCUCCUAGUACGAGAGGACCGGAGUGGACGCAUCACUGGUGUUCGGGUUGUCAUGCCAAUGGCACUGCCCGGUAGCUAAAUGCGGAAGAGAUAAGUGCUGAAAGCAUCUAAGCACGAAACUUGCCCCGAGAUGAGUUCUCCCUGAGACUUAGAGUCUCCUGAAGGAACGUUGAAGACGACGACGUUGAUAGGCCGGGUGUGUAAGCGCAGCGAUGCGUUGAGCUAACCGGUACUAAUGAACCGUGAGGCUUAACCUUACAACGCCGAAG
This 2926-nucleotide ribosomal RNA is filed under the name Escherichia coli. RNAcentral describes it as "23S ribosomal RNA". It matches the Rfam family "Bacterial large subunit ribosomal RNA". The record is from RNAcentral. Lineage: Bacteria; Pseudomonadati; Pseudomonadota; Gammaproteobacteria; Enterobacterales; Enterobacteriaceae.